UAGAGUACCUACUCUUCAACCCCUGUGAACAUACCUAUUUUCCUCCGGCGGAACGCCCCGGUGCCUUCGGGGCCGGGUCAGGCGCCCGCCGGGGACCAAACAAACUGUAUUUGUACCCUGUAUAACUCAGAAUUAGGCGUAAAGCCGAAAUGUAA
This 155-nucleotide unclassified non-coding RNA is filed under the name soil metagenome. Its description in RNAcentral is "partial internal transcribed spacer 1". The record is from RNAcentral.